Camelus dromedarius (Arabian camel) is the source of this 202-nucleotide small nuclear RNA. Its record names the gene U2. It matches the Rfam family "U2 spliceosomal RNA". From Rfam's summary of the family: U2 is a small nuclear RNA (snRNA) component of the spliceosome (involved in pre-mRNA splicing). The record is from Ensembl. NCBI's taxonomy places the organism in Eukaryota, Metazoa, Chordata, Mammalia, Artiodactyla, Camelidae.
CUAACUUUUGAGGCUCAUUUCAAUAAAAAAAAAAUUCAACUUGGGAGUAUCUAUGCUUACCAGUUUAAUAUCUGAUACAUCUUCUAUCUGAGGACAAUAUAUUAAAUGGAUUUUUGGAACAGGGGGUUGGAAUAUGAGCUUGCUCUGUCCACUCCAUGCAUCAGCCUGGUAUUGCAAUACCUCCAGGAAUGGUGCACUGCCC